RNAcentral lists this microRNA precursor (151 nucleotides) under Medicago truncatula (barrel medic). RNAcentral describes it as "MIR2619 microRNA precursor family". It matches the Rfam family "MIR2619 microRNA precursor family". The record is from Rfam by way of RNAcentral. Lineage: Eukaryota; Viridiplantae; Streptophyta; Magnoliopsida; Fabales; Fabaceae.
AAACAGCCCCUUAUGUUUUGAUUUUUUGGCAGUUUUGGACCCCCAGUCCAUUAGUGAGGUGCCACGUGGCCCCCUAAAUAAUACACGUGGCACCUCACUAAUGGACUGGGGGUCCAAAACUGCCAAAGAAUCAAAACAUAGGGGGUUGUUU